RNAcentral lists this long non-coding RNA (371 nucleotides) under Nicotiana tabacum (common tobacco). RNAcentral describes it as "long non-coding RNA (NTAB_LNC012464)". The record is from RNAcentral. Lineage: Eukaryota; Viridiplantae; Streptophyta; Magnoliopsida; Solanales; Solanaceae.
CGGAAUUUGUGAGGAGUGAGGAAUUGAAUCAAGCUGGAAAUCACCGCCUAUAACCCUAAAUUAGUUUGAUGCAGAAAAUCAGAAAUUAAAAAAAUUAUGCGUCUGAACUCUGAACUCAAAAAGUUCAAAACUUAAAAAUAUAAAAACUCGGAAGAAACCUCAGAGAGUACUGAGAUGAGAUGAGACUUACAAAACUUACAAAAGUAGUGAAGUUAACCGGUGAAGAUGAGAUGAGACUCGAGCUCGACUGUCGACUGGUCGUAACUCGUAGAGACGUAGACUCGCAGACGCAGACUCGCAGUAGAUUCUCGAUUCAGAUGAUAUCCUAAGCCCUAAAUCCUAAUGCCCUAAUUUGAUUCAGAUGGUCUAAG